This 468-nucleotide ribosomal RNA is filed under the name uncultured bacterium. Its description in RNAcentral is "bacterial SSU rRNA". It matches the Rfam family "Bacterial small subunit ribosomal RNA", at positions 355 to 825 of the family's 1533-position model. The record is from RNAcentral.
UAGGGAAUAUUGGACAAUGGGUGAGAGCCUGAUCCAGCCAUGCCGCGUGCAGGAAGAAGGCGUUAUGCGUUGUAAACUGCUUUUUGCCAGGGGAUAAAAAGACCGUGCGCGGUUAAUUGAAGGUACCUGGUGAAUAAGCCACGGCUAACUACGUGCCAGCAGCCGCGGUAAUACGUAGGUGGCAAGCGUUGUCCGGAUUUAUUGGGUUUAAAGGGUGCGUAGGUGGCCCUGUAAGUCAGUGGUGAAAUAUCUCAGCUUAACUGAGAGGGUGCCAUUGAUACUGCAGGGCUUGAGUACAGAUGAGGUAGGCGGAAUUGACGGUGUAGCGGUGAAAUGCAUAGAUAUCGUCAAGAACACCGAUAGCGAAGGCAGCUUACCAAGCUGUAACUGACACUGAGGCACGAAAGUGUGGGGAUCGAAACAGGAUUAGAUACCCAUGUAGUCCCUGAGCGGGCUGGCAAGGCGCAU